CGGGUUUUUUGUUUUGUUUUGUUUUGUUUUGUUUUUAACUAGAGACAAGGUCUUGCUAUGUUGCCCAGGCUGGUCUUGAACCCCUUGCCUCAAGUGAUCCUUCCACCUCGGCCUCCCAAAGUGCUGAGUUUACAGGCGUGAGCCACUGUCCCUGGCCAAGCAUCAUUGAAUUUGAGGGGCUGAAACUUGGAUCCUGCAACCCAUCUUCAACCAAGUAAAAGACAAGCCCCUUCACAGCUUAUUACUCAAGUAG
RNAcentral lists this long non-coding RNA (253 nucleotides) under Homo sapiens (human). Its description in RNAcentral is "HSALNT0246715". Lineage: Eukaryota; Metazoa; Chordata; Mammalia; Primates; Hominidae. The record is from RNAcentral.